GGAAGGGUCUCUGGCAAGGUGAGAGGCGAGUUCCUCCCUCGCACGCGAAAAAGAAAGAACGGUGAGGUUGACGGCGCCGGUGACAGUCUCGACGGCUGGCUCUAGUUGCGGAGGUAGAAGGCGGCGGCCCGUGGUGGCCAGUCAGGUGUGUGAGUGACGGAGUGCGAGAGAGGGAGACCUAGAACCUCUGAAGCUUGGAGUUGAUAGUGAAGUACAAAUGAUGGGAAUCAGGGGAAGCAAUUUGAACCCCUAAAAAGUUUUCCUUUCCCUUGCACCCCUAUUUCUGCUAAAUCACACCCCCUUUCCCCUUGGGCUCAGGCCCAGUUCGUUUAUUUUAAAAAAGGAAAAAUAUUUAGGCACCCCUCUUCUUAUCUAAGCACCCCAUAUCUUUUUUUUUUUUACUUAUUAUUUUGUUUUUUUCUUAUCAUUUAACUUUUUAUUUUAUUUUAUUUCUACUUUUUAUUUUCAUUUAGUUAUUUAUCUAUUUAUUUUAUUUUAUCUACUUUUAAGUAAAUAUUAAAAACAAUAAAAAAAUGUUUUAAAAGGUUAAAGC
Molecule: long non-coding RNA, 553 nt
Filed under: Vigna radiata
Lineage: Eukaryota; Viridiplantae; Streptophyta; Magnoliopsida; Fabales; Fabaceae
Description: long non-coding RNA (VRAD_LNC005814)
Source: RNAcentral